Molecule: long non-coding RNA, 547 nt
Filed under: Homarus americanus (American lobster)
Lineage: Eukaryota; Metazoa; Arthropoda; Malacostraca; Decapoda; Nephropidae
Description: uncharacterized LOC121867526, transcript variant X1
Source: RNAcentral
UCCCUUCUUAUAAUAAAGUGUGUAUGAUACCUUUCGUUUAUUUCCUCUUAAUUUUCUAUUUAUUUCUGUUUAUUUACUUAUUUUUACUCUUUCUCUGUUCCCCCACAGGCAUGCCGGCACCUGGGGCCCAUCCACUCCAGUUCUCCACAUCAAUUGACCACCCUGCGGACAUGCUAGUGGACUACGUAUCUACGCCAAGGACGUCGUCCCCUACCAACCUCUCGGCGUCCCUCUUGAAGACGACAUUACCGACGUACACGCCAUCACAAUCAUACUAAAAGAGCGACCUUGCCAGGGAGAGACACAAAAUCCCAGCUGGACCAACCUUUAUAAACCCAGCUGACUCCAGACUGCGCAUGCAAGUAACCUCUGUCUCCGAACACCUUCCCCUCACCUACGUAUGAUUCGGACACGGUUGAGUGGCAUUCCAUUCCUGGCCGUAGUCAGCUGAGCGGGCGAGAGUCUCCACCCCGCAACUGAACAACGACCUGCACUCAUCCGUCCUUUAUACUGACUUCUCCCGCCCUUCCACAGUCUCUCAGCUACU